RNAcentral lists this long non-coding RNA (893 nucleotides) under Daphnia magna. RNAcentral describes it as "uncharacterized LOC116921383, transcript variant X1". The record is from RNAcentral. Lineage: Eukaryota; Metazoa; Arthropoda; Branchiopoda; Diplostraca; Daphniidae.
AAUGAUGAGCCCGAUUUAGACAAAAAUAUUACGUUACAUUCUUUAUAUACUAGUUCAUUAGCUACAAUUGUUAAACAGUUCAUGUAAAUGCAGUUAAACAUAAAGUUCAAAUGGAAUGGGCUAAGGCAAGUUUUGAAAUUGUAAUAAAAUCUCGCAUUUCUUCUGGUUAUUAAUUUGAAAACAAGAUGACGCUACUGCGCCUCUGUUUUUUUCUGUGAUUGAGUGUGAAUAGUGAAAACUGUGUUUGAAUGUUUGAUAAUUGUGCAUGCAAAGUUUGAACAAAUCAAGUGGUGUGCUAUCAACUUUAAGUGUUUUCAUCCUUCUAGGUAUUUUGGAAGUUAAGCAGAUCAAAAGGGUUAAUUCUUUGGUAUCGGGGAUGCUUGUGAUUAGGUUUUAUUCGUGAAACUUGGAUUGCAAAGGAUACUGACCGUUUAGUGAUGUCAUCAGUGAUGCAAAUCCUAUGUGUUGGAAUACCAUCAUCUGAUUCUGCUACUCUAUAUUCAUUCAUCAUGUUCUAACUGCCAGGCUCUUCUUCCUUCCCAUGAAAAAAGACCAUCAUAAGUCUGGCCUAUAAGUUUUACCUCAAUCAAGCAAUCAAAUUGAGAAAAAGAGAAAGGAACAGAAGGCCCCAACAGAAAACUAACGGGGACUUGGAGUAAUUCACCGUUGCUGGGUUUAUCACCCUGUCUUUGCCACGCCCGUCUCCAACUCGCCCGUCACCCGUUGAGAACUCGCCCAUCGGUCUGUCACCGCCUCGCCCGUCACCCUGCCAUUGCUUCGCCCGUCAUCCCGUCUUCACCUCGUGGUCAUGGUCGCUCCGUCAUCGUCGUCAUCUUCAUGGUAUCGUUGUGUUAUGUAAUGUGUAUAAUGUGUAUUGUUAAUUAACCCGUUGG